Canis lupus familiaris (dog) is the source of this 921-nucleotide long non-coding RNA. RefSeq lists it as uncharacterized. The transcript has 4 exons. NCBI's taxonomy places the organism in Eukaryota, Metazoa, Chordata, Mammalia, Carnivora, Canidae. The record is from RefSeq and is a predicted model, not a curated record.
GGGAUGCGGGAGGCCCGCGGAGCGCGCUCCUCCGGCGGCGGCGGGGGCGGCUGUUUCCCGCUGAAAGCCCCAGAAAUGCAGGCCGCCGUUUACGGACUCCUCCUCCUCCACCUCACCCUAACAGUAUUUGCAAUCUGUACGACAAAUAAGGCAGAGAAUUUUUUCACCAAUAGGUGUUAAGUCCUUUAAAGAAUCCACUUUUUUUUUUUUUUUUAUUAAAAACCCCUCGAACGACAAGAACUGAAGUCCCUGCACUGCCCUGAAACCUAAGAAUCUUGUGCUCCUUAGAAACUGAGUUUUGGGUUUUCCUUUUUCUUUGAACUCCUGUUGCCAUUGGCUGUGAGUUCCUACGAGGUUGUUUUAGAAAAAAAGGAAUUAUGGAGGAGUGGAAAAACUAUGAGUGAGAUUGAACAACUUGUCUGAAGUUAUGGAACUUCAGGAGAGAGUGGUUUAAGAUUUGGAUGCAUAACCUUUCUCUAAAAGAAUGAAGAAAUUGGUUGAGAGAAUUUCUAGCAUUCCUGUCAGCACAAGUUUGUAAUUUGAUCUCUUUGUGAAAUAACCUGUCAUCUUAUGAGAAACUGUUGGAGCGUUAACUGAAAGUAGAAAGAAGCAAGUCCUAGGGAACUCCUAAAAAUAACUGAUCCCUUUAUUUUACUGCCAACUUUUGCUACUUCAGACUGAAACAACCCAAUAGUAACAACCUAAUCCUGUAGAACUGUAUGCAUCUAUUAACUGGAAACAUGCCCAGUGUCCACAUUACAUAGUCUCAAGAGAUUUGAAAAUGGCUGUCUCUGAGGAGUGGGAGUAGGUAGUGGAUGAGGGGUAGAGGGUAUAAGGUGGGGAACUUCUGUUUUUAAGUUUUUUUUUUUUUAAUUUAUUUUUUAUUGGUGUUCAAUUUACUAACAUACAGAAUAACCCCCA